This is a non-coding RNA of Equus caballus (horse), 867 nucleotides long. NCBI's taxonomy places the organism in Eukaryota, Metazoa, Chordata, Mammalia, Perissodactyla, Equidae. The record is from RefSeq and is a predicted model, not a curated record.
GUAGCUUAUUGUUCAAUGGGAUUUUUGCCAUCCUCUGCCAAAAACACACCCUUUCUGGGGACCAGGACCUCUAACCCUGCAGAAUCCAGAGCUGUGGGGACCCCUAGUGAGUCACUGAAAGUGAUGGUGUCCCUGGAAGGGUAUGACCUUGGAUGAAGCUGAAGCAACUCCCUAAAGGGGCUGAAGGCUGAAUGAAGGUUGUACACUGACAGCACUCUCAGCAGCUGAGGCAACAAGCCCUUCCCUGGGGGAAGAUCUGGACCAUGCCUCGCCAUGUCUCUGCCACAAGGUCAAGCUUCUGUGCACCAGGCUCUGCCCAAGCGUGAUUGCCAGGAAGUCUGUCCCAUGCAGUGCUGCAGACCUGUGUAUUUCUUCAGGGACCUCAGCCAGGUACUACAAUGGAGGCAAAGGUGCUGCUUGAGGAAGAAUUCCGGCUUUGGCUCAGCUAUUCUGCAGUCUACCUUCCCUCAGAGCAGAGAGUUUGGGGCAGGGUUUUCUACUUAUUUAAGAGAAUGUCGUUCAAGCCAUCUACUUGCUUGAUGUGAGAGAUUUAUGUGUUUUCUAACAUAGUCAUCAAUGUAAGGUUCUAACACUCUAUAUUCCAGUUGGAGAAUAACCUUGAAUUGUCAAUUGUUUUACUCCUUUCAAAAGCUAAACAGGAAAUUGACGUUUAGUCAAUUUUGUUUAAGGGACAUGGUAUCCAUCACUUUUGGUGUCUUUUAACAUUGUUCUUUUAUCACAUUUGAUCACUGUAAAUCUACACGUUUAUGUGACGUUAACUUAGUCCUCUCCAGAAUACCCAUUACUGAAUUUAUCUUUUAGAGAGUGUAAAGACUAGAUUUGCUAUAAAACUAUUGAAGUUAUUGA